This 740-nucleotide long non-coding RNA is filed under the name Salmo salar (Atlantic salmon). RNAcentral's name for it is "lncRNA (ENSSSAG00000105751.1)". The record is from RNAcentral. Lineage: Eukaryota; Metazoa; Chordata; Actinopteri; Salmoniformes; Salmonidae.
UGGACAUGCCGAGAGAUGAGUUCAGAUUGGUCUGCCAUAUAACACGCUUCUGUCUAUUUGAUCUGGUUAGAAUGUUUUUGAACAGGGACAAAGUGACAGGAGAGGUCAGCAUAAGGGCUUGCUGCUACAGGUCCAUGAGGAAAAAUGAGAAACCACAGAGUUUGAGUGUUGUACUGAAGCCCUCUGAGCCAGUAACAAUGACACAACAUCACUGUUAAUGUGUUGCUGGCACUGCAUUAUGCAACCACACAGUUGCAUUACUAUUCCAGUCUGUACACUAUUCACAAAUGGGAACACCAGUUGUCCCACCUGUGCACAGCUGCACAGAGGCCAAGCAGCAGUGGCAUAAGCCAAGGACUGUGCUAUGUUUUAAUAGCUAUAUCACAUAACAUCAAAUUAUUAUAAUCACAUCAUAAUGCUAAUAAAUGAUUUAAUGAAAACUCGUCUCUGUCACGUCUUGACCAGUAUAGGGGUUAUUUGUUAUUGUAGUUUGGUCAGGACGUGGCAGAGGGUAUUUGUUUUAUGUGGUUUGGGGUGGUGGUUUGUUUAGAAGGGUGUUUGAUUUAUUAUUUCCGGGUUUUGGGUUAUGUUGUAUGUUUUUGUAUUUCUAUGUUCUUUCUAGUUUAGUAUUUUCUUUGUUAGGUAAUUGGGUGUUGGACUCUCAAUUGGAGGCAGGUGUUUAUAGUUGCCUUUGAUUGAGAGUCCUAUAUAUAGGUUUGUGUUUUGUUUGUUAAUUGUGG